GAUGAACGCUGGCGGCGUGCCUAAUACAUGCAAGUCGGGCGAACGGACGUGAAGCUUGCUUCUCUCAUGUUAGCGGCGGACAGGUGAGUAACACGUGGAUAACCUACCUAUAAGACUGGGAUAACUUCUGGAAACCGGAGCUAAUACCGGAUAAUAUUUUGAACCGCAUGGUUCAAAAGUGAAAGACGGUCUUGCUGUCACGUAUAGAUCGAUCCGCGCUGCAUUAGCUAGUUGGUAAGGUAACGGCUUACCAAGGCAACGAUGCAUAGCCGACCUGAGAGGGGAAUAGGCCACACUGGAACUGAGACACGGGCCAGACUCCGACGGGAGGAAGCAGUAGGGAAUCUUACGAGAUAGGAGAAAGCAUGACGGAGCAAUGCGGGAUGGGUGAUGAAGGUCUUGGGAUCGUAAAACACUGUGAUUAGGGAAGAAGAUAUGUGUAAGUAACUGUGCAAAUCAUGACGGUACCUAAUCAGAAAGCCACGGCUAACUCCGUG
Molecule: ribosomal RNA, 497 nt
Filed under: uncultured bacterium
Lineage: Bacteria
Description: partial 16S ribosomal RNA
Rfam family: Bacterial small subunit ribosomal RNA
Source: RNAcentral